This 253-nucleotide ribosomal RNA is filed under the name uncultured bacterium. RNAcentral's name for it is "partial 16S ribosomal RNA". It matches the Rfam family "Bacterial small subunit ribosomal RNA", at positions 524 to 776 of the family's 1533-position model. The record is from RNAcentral.
UACAGAGGUGGCAAGCGUUGUUCGGAAUUACUGGGCGUAAAGGGCGCGUAGGCGGUUCGUUAAGUCCUGUGUGAAAUCCCCCGGCUCAACUGGGGAACUGCACAGGAAACUAGCGGGCUUGAGUUCGGGAGAGGGAAGCGGAAUUCCGGGUGUAGCGGUGAAAUGCGUAGAUAUCUGGAGGAACACCGGUGGCGAAGGCGGCAUCCUGGACCGGCAUUGACGCUGAGGAGCGAAAGCCAGGGGAGCAAACGGG